ACUUUUGACGGUGGAUCUCUUGGCUCACGCAUCGAUGAAGAACGCAGCCAGCUGCGAUAAGUAGUGUGAAUUGCAGAAUUCAGUGAAUCAUCGAAUCUUUGAACGCAAAUGGCGCUCUUGGGUUCUCCCAGGAGCAUGUCUGUCUGAGUGUCGGAU
RNAcentral lists this ribosomal RNA (156 nucleotides) under Heliofungia actiniformis. Its description in RNAcentral is "5.8S ribosomal RNA". It matches the Rfam family "5.8S ribosomal RNA". Rfam says of the family: 5.8S ribosomal RNA (5.8S rRNA) is a component of the large subunit of the eukaryotic ribosome. It is transcribed by RNA polymerase I as part of the 45S precursor that also contains 18S and 28S rRNA. Functionally, it is thought that 5.8S rRNA may be involved in ribosome translocation. Lineage: Eukaryota; Metazoa; Cnidaria; Anthozoa; Scleractinia; Fungiidae. The record is from RNAcentral.